This 658-nucleotide long non-coding RNA is filed under the name Chrysemys picta bellii (western painted turtle). RNAcentral's name for it is "lncRNA (ENSCPBG00000028348.1)". Lineage: Eukaryota; Metazoa; Chordata; Testudines; Emydidae. The record is from RNAcentral.
UGUAAGCAGCAUCAGAUUUGUAGCAAACAUAUAGGUGAAUAUGGGAACAACAAUCUAUAUCAACAGUUCAUGCAGUGUGAGCUUUGUGGCAUUUCUCCACUACUCCUUAUUUUGCCGCCUUAUCUUGAGAAUGUAUGGCACGGUCACUAUGAAAAGAGCUUUGUGUUUGAAUUCCUGGUCUUCAGGGAUUUUACAUUCUGUAGCUGGCAAAACAAGUCCCCAUUUAAAUAUUAAGCUUACUACAUUAAUGAUCUCCAAUGUCCCCCUACAGUCUGCAGUCGCACGGCUGGUGGUGUGGCACAGACAGAGCAAGGGUUACAUCAAGGCUGUUCUCUGGACCGUGCAAACAGUCUAGACCAAUGACCUGCAGCAUCAUGCCCUUUGAAGAAGAGGCAAGUUCGGUCACGAUGAAGAAAAAUCAAGGCGUACCCCUUUUAACAAUAGGGAGCAGCUCGUGGCUGCAAAGAGGUAAGCAGGGGUAAGCGAAAAAGGCAUCUGCUUCCAUGGUUACAGGCCAACUAUGAGAACCUUGCUUUUCAAGAGAGACUGUUCUCAUGCUCCCUCACAGGCUAUGUCAUGCAUUAUAAGUAAAGGAGGGUUGAGCUGAAAUCCACAUAGUUAUUUCAGAGUAAAAUGAUACGCGAGCACAUGGCUGUUA